Molecule: non-coding RNA, 71 nt
Organism: Stegodyphus mimosarum
Lineage: Eukaryota; Metazoa; Arthropoda; Arachnida; Araneae; Eresidae
Source: Rfam
GCCUUUGUGGUGUAACGGUAACACACUCGACGCGUAUUCGAGAGGUCCAGGUUCGAGUCCCUGCGAGGGCA